GACGAACGCUGGCGGCGUGCCUAAUACAUGCAAGUAGAACGCUGAAGAGAGGAGCUUGCUCUUCUUGGAUGAGUUGCGAACGGGUGAGUAACGCGUAGGUAACCUGCCUUGUAGCGGGGGAUAACUAUUGGAAACGAUAGCUAAUACCGCAUAACAAUGGAUGACACAUGUCAUUUAUUUGAAUGGGGCAAUUGCUCCACUACAAGAUGGACCUGCGUUGUAUUAGCUAGUAGGUGAGGUAAUGGCUCACCUAGGCGACGAUACAUAGCCGACCUGAGAGGGUGAUCGGCCACACUGGGACUGAGACACGGCCCAGACUCCUACGGGAGGCAGCAGUAGGGAAUCUUCGGCAAUGGGGGCAACCCUGACCGAGCAACGCCGCGUGAGUGAAGAAGGUUUUCGGAUCGUAAAGCUCUGUUGUAAGUCAAGAACGGGUGUGAGAGUGGAAAGUUCACACUGUGACGGUAGCUUACCAGAAAGGGACGGCUAACUACGUG
This 497-nucleotide ribosomal RNA is filed under the name uncultured bacterium. RNAcentral's name for it is "partial 16S ribosomal RNA". It matches the Rfam family "Bacterial small subunit ribosomal RNA", at positions 28 to 507 of the family's 1533-position model. The record is from RNAcentral.